GGCAUGGUGGUGCAGUGGGUAGCACUGUCGCCUCACAGCAAGAAGGUUCUGGGUUCGAAUCUCAGCCUUUCUG
RNAcentral lists this transfer RNA (73 nucleotides) under Anguilla anguilla (European eel). It matches the Rfam family "tRNA". From Rfam's summary of the family: Transfer RNA (tRNA) molecules are approximately 80 nucleotides in length. Their secondary structure includes four short double-helical elements and three loops (D, anti-codon, and T loops). Further hydrogen bonds mediate the characteristic L-shaped molecular structure. tRNAs have two regions of fundamental functional importance: the anti-codon, which is responsible for specific mRNA codon recognition, and the 3' end, to which the tRNAs corresponding amino acid is attached (by aminoacyl-tRNA synthetases). tRNAs cope with the degeneracy of the genetic code in two manners: having more than one tRNA (with a specific anti-codon) for a particular amino acid; and 'wobble' base-pairing, i.e. permitting non-standard base-pairing at the 3rd anti-codon position. The record is from Rfam by way of RNAcentral. Lineage: Eukaryota; Metazoa; Chordata; Actinopteri; Anguilliformes; Anguillidae.